Molecule: microRNA precursor, 81 nt
Filed under: Rhinopithecus roxellana (golden snub-nosed monkey)
Lineage: Eukaryota; Metazoa; Chordata; Mammalia; Primates; Cercopithecidae
Description: miRNA (ENSRROG00000018241.1)
Source: RNAcentral
UAUUAGAUUGGUGCAAAAGUAAUCGCAGUUUUUGCCAUUACUGUCAAUAGCAAAAACUGCAAUUACUUUUGCACUAACCUA